AAUAAGAUAGGAUAUAUGUAGUCUGUUAGGUUCAUACCCUAAAGGUUUUUCUUGUUA
This 57-nucleotide transfer RNA is filed under the name Nippostrongylus brasiliensis. RNAcentral's name for it is "tRNA-Met". Lineage: Eukaryota; Metazoa; Nematoda; Chromadorea; Rhabditida; Heligmosomidae. The record is from RNAcentral.